UGGCCAGUAGUGCAGUGGUUAGCUCAGGUGUGUUAAUCCAGCAGGUUGUGGGUUCGAAUCCCCACUACCCCU
RNAcentral lists this transfer RNA (72 nucleotides) under Hordeum vulgare. Its description in RNAcentral is "tRNA-OTHER". The record is from RNAcentral. Lineage: Eukaryota; Viridiplantae; Streptophyta; Magnoliopsida; Poales; Poaceae.